RNAcentral lists this ribosomal RNA (404 nucleotides) under Verrucomicrobiota bacterium. RNAcentral's name for it is "Verrucomicrobia bacterium partial 16S ribosomal RNA". It matches the Rfam family "Bacterial small subunit ribosomal RNA", at positions 355 to 776 of the family's 1533-position model. Lineage: Bacteria; Pseudomonadati; Verrucomicrobiota. The record is from RNAcentral.
UGGGGAAUAUUGCACAAUGGGCGCAAGCCUGAUGCAGCAACGCCGCGUGAACGAUGAAGGUCUUCGGAUCGUAAAGUUCUGUUGCAGGGGAAGAUAAUGACGGUACCCUGUGAGGAAGCCCCGGCUAACUACGUGCCAGCAGCCGCGGUAAUACGUAGGGGGCUAGCGUUAUCCGGAUUUAUUGGGUUUAAAGGGAGCGUAGGCCGCGUUUUAAGCGUGUUGUGAAAUGUAGACGCCCAACGUCUGCAUCGCAGCGCGAACUGGGACGCUUGAGUACGCGCAACGUUGGCGGAAUUCGUCGUGUAGCGGUGAAAUGCUUAGAUAUGACGAGGAACUCCGAUUGCGAAGGCAGCUGACGGGAGCGGCACUGACGCUUAAGCUCGAAGGUGCGGGUAUCAAACAGG